UGAAAUCCUAGGAGGGUUCCAAAUCUGA
RNAcentral lists this small RNA (28 nucleotides) under Bombyx mori (domestic silkworm). RNAcentral's name for it is "ovarian small RNA-30580". Lineage: Eukaryota; Metazoa; Arthropoda; Insecta; Lepidoptera; Bombycidae. The record is from RNAcentral.